This 174-nucleotide ribosomal RNA is filed under the name uncultured bacterium. Its description in RNAcentral is "partial 16S ribosomal RNA". It matches the Rfam family "Bacterial small subunit ribosomal RNA", at positions 1319 to 1500 of the family's 1533-position model. The record is from RNAcentral.
CAUGAAGUUGGAUUCGCUAGUAAUCGCGCAUCAGCCAUGGCGCGGUGAAUACGUUCCCGGGCCUUGUACACACCGCCCGUCAAGCCAUGGGAGCUGGGGGUGCCUGAAGUUCGUGACCGCAAGGAUCGACCUAGGGCAAAACCGGUGACUGGGGCUAAGUCGUAACAAGGUACC